UCAGUUUCUCACCACAGUAUUCUAACAGAACAUCUUAGUACAAAUUGAUUUCCAGAACAUUUUUUGAGAAGUCACAAAUUGUGACUUCAGCCAGUUAACAUGAUUGAGGCAUACUGAAUAAACAACAAAGCCAUGCCAUGUCCCCAAUAAAUAGAGAUCAAACUUCUCAUCAACAGAAGGUGCCCUUUUCUAUGAUGCAAAUCGUUGUCCAUGGAUCAUAGAGCUACAAUUUUAAGAUUCCUAUUCUGCCUUUUGCAUUAUUAGCAAAAAGGAAAAAUCUAUCUAAUUAUUGGCAUUGAUGAAUUUUGAAAUUCAAAAUAAUCUUGGUUUUAAAAAAGAAAAUUUUAAAAAUUACUCCUUUCUAAAUAAAAUGAAAAUCAAUUCCAUAUAAAUACUUUAAAUCAAACACAAGCAACGAUGCAUCCCUACUGGACCCUUACCCGGGCCUCUGAUAGACCCCAAAUUAUACACCAGUACAGUAGAAGGAAGAAGAAGCAAGGUUAACCGCACGUGCCAGGGAGAAUAGCCUUAAUAGCUUUAAUAUUGUUAGUACAUAAUUCCGUAAUAAAAUAAAAGAGUAUAAAUAGGAGUUUGUUAUGGAGAGAGAAAGUUAGUUAGAGUAUAAAUAGGAGUUUGUUAUGGAGAGAGAAAGCUAGUUAGAGUAUAAAUAGGAGUUUGUUAUCGAGAGAGAGGGGAGUGAGAAUUUUGUGGUAGGCUCAGGAUUUUCCAAGAGGAAAAAAAGAGAGCAGAGGAGAGUCUUUCGUUUCCGAAUUGAGCAUCCUCAAUUCGUUUUACAUUGUAAUUUCGUUAGUUUUCAGGAUUAAUACUAUCGUAACGAGGCUGUUCCUACUUAUUCGGUUUCAAUCAAGAGGAGUUCCAUCAUUUGGUAUCAAAGCUCGUCGAAUCUGGGCAAGGAGAGAACUAUGGUUAACACGCGAUCGGAAGAGAGAAUGGAAGUUCACGGUCAGGAAAUGUUGCUGAUGAAGAAAGAAGUGAGUAAAAUUUCGGCGAUCGAAGAAAGCUUAACAGAGAUCAGUCAACAAACCGAAAAGACGCAUCAAAUGCUGAUGAUACUCAUGGAUUCUAUUGCGAAAGAAGGGACGACAACCAGUGAGAAGUUGGCAGACUACGGCGCACAGGAAACUGGAUGCAAAAAAAAUAAUGAUGGAACUUCUCUUGAUCGAAACCGAACAAGUAGGAACAGCCUCAUUACGAUAGUAUUAAUCCCGAAAACUAACGAAAUUACAAUGUAAAACGAAUUGAGGAUGCUCAAUUCGGAAACGAAGGACUCUCCUCUGCUCUCUUUUUUUCCUCUUGGAAAAUCCUGAGCUUACCACAAAAUUCUCACUCCCCUCUCUCUCUCUCGAUAACAAACUCCUAUUUAUACUCUAACUAGCUUUCUCUCUCCAUAACAAACUCCUAUUUAUACUCUAACUAACUUUCUCUCUCCAUAACAAACUCCUAUUUAUACUCUAUUAUUUAUUAUGGAAUUAUCUACUAACAAUAUUAAAUCUAUUAAGGCUAUUCUCCCUGGCACGUGCGGUUAACCUUGCUUCUUCUUCCUUCUACUGUACUGGUGUAUAAUUGGGGGUCUAUCAUUACAUUCCCUUUCCUUUACAUCGAUGACCAUGAAAGUACUUUUCAUUACAGCGAAAGCAAAGUCCCUUCUCUUUUCGGGCUUGAAACUCUGCAUCGGGUAGUCUCUUCGUCGGGCCUUCUUUCUUAACUUCUCCAGCCAUUGUUCUUAAUGUCACCAUCCUCAUCGAAAAUAUGGUAUUUCCUUUGUUCUCACUGUUAUUCAUCAUUGCACUACUUUUGAUGUUUGAAGAGUUUGGAGGGGGGUAUGAUGACCCUACCAGUCUUGGCAUUGCCAGACUUCAGUAGAACCUUUGAAUUGGAAACAGAUGCAUCGGGGUAUCGCAUAGGAGUUGUGUUAAUGCAAGCCAAGAAGCCGAUUGCCUACUUCAGCCACACCUUGGCAGUAAGGGACAGAGUAAAGCCCGUAUAUGAAAGACAAUUAAUGGCCGUGGUCAUGGCUGUACAGAGGUGGAGACCGUACUUACUCGAGAAACCAUUCAUAGUAGGGACUGACCAGAAAUCAUUGAAGUUUUUACUAGAGCAGAGAGUAAUUCAACCUCAGUACCAAAAGUGGGUAGCCAAGCUAUUGGGAUACUCUUUUGAAGUACAAUACAAACCAGGACUAGAGAAUAAAGCCGCUAACGCCUUAUCCCGUGUACCUCCAGCAGUUCAAUUCAGUAGCUUAACGGCACCAGCAUUAAUAGAUUUAUUAGUAGUCAAGAAGGAAGUGGAAGAAGAUACCAGACUUCGCAAAGUAUGGGAAGCACUACAAGCAGGGGAGGAGAAUACUGAAAGAAAAUUUUCUAUCAGACACGGAAUGCUAAGAUACAAUGACAGAUUGGUGUUAUCUCAGUCAUCAGCUUUGAUCCCAGCCAUAUGGUAUACUUAUCAUGAUUCUGUGCUAGGUGGACAUUCUGGUUUUCUAAGAACUUAUAAGAGAAUUACUGAAGAGUUGUAUUGGGCAGGAAUGAAAACUGACAUCAAAAGGUACUGUGAUGAAUGUCUGAUUUGUCAGAAAAAUAAAUCCUUGGCUUUGACCUCGGCUGGGGUAUUACUGCCAUUGGAAGUUCCCAAUAACAUUUGGAGUGAUAUCUCAAUGGACUUCAUUGAGGGGUUGCCGAAAUCAGGUGGCUUUGAAACUAUAUUUGUAGUGGUCGAUAGGUUCAGCAAAUAUGGCCAUUUCCUUGCCUUCAAACAUCCUUUCACAGCGAAAACUGUAGCAAAAGUAUUUGUUAAAGAAAUUGUGCAUCUACACGGAUUUCCUAAAUCCAUCGUAUCAGAUAGAGAUAAGGUAUUUGUGAGUAGCUUUUGGAAAGGAAUGUUCAAGUUGGCUGGCACUAAAUUAAAUAGAAGCACGACAUAUCACCCACAAAGAGAUGGUCAGACAGAAGUGGUCAACAGGAGCGUGGAAACAUAUUUAAGAUGUUUCUGUAGUGAGAAACCAAAGGAAUGGACGAAAUGGCUACACUGGGCAGAGUAUUGGUACAAUACCACCUUCCACCGGUCAUUGGGAAUCACUCCUUUUCAGGCUGUAUAUGGUCGCACACCCCCUCCGUUAAUAUACUAUGGGGAUCAAAGCACAUCUAACUUCCUGUUAGAUGAACAACUCAAGGCAAGGGAUGAAGUCUUGGAAGUAUUGAAGGAACACCUUUGAGUGGCUCAAGAUAAAAUGAAAAAGAAUGCAGAUUUGAAGAGAAGAGAUGUGGAUAUAAGGUUGGUGACAUGGUGUUUUUAAAAAUUAGGCCAUACAGGCAAUCUUCCUUGCGUAAGAAAAAGAAUGGGAAACUGUCCCCAAAGUUUUUUGGGCCGUUUGAUGUUACAGAACGAAUAGGAUUGGUAGCAUACAAGCUCCAGUUGCCGAAAUCUUCAUGUAUUCACCCAGUCUUUCAUGUCUCGUAACUUAAAAAGAUGGUGGGGAAUCACACCAUGCUGAAACCAGAAGAAAUGGCCUGUUUAAAUGAAAACUAUGAAUGGUUGGCUAUUCCGGAGGAGAUAUAUGGGUAUUCGAAGAACAAGGAAGGAAUUUGGGAGGUACUGAUUAAAUGGCAGGGGCUAUCACCUCAGGAAGCGUCUUGGGAGGAGUAUGAAGAAUUUCAGAAGAAGUUAAGAAAGAAGGCCCAACGAAGAGACUACCCGAUGCAGAGUUUCAAGCCCGAAAAGAGAAGGGACUUUGCUUUCGCUGUAAUGAAAAGUACUUUCAUGGUCAUCGAUGUAAAGGAAAGGGAAUGUAAUGAUAGACCCCCAAUUAUACACCAGUACAGUAGAAGGAAGAAGAAGCAAGGUUAACUGCACGUGCCAGGGAGAAUAGCCUUAAUAGAUUUAAUAUUGUUAGUAGAUAAUUCCAUAAUAAAUAAUAGAGUAUAAAUAGGAUUUUGUAAUGGAGAGAGAAAGUUAGUUAGAGUAUAAAUAGGAGUUUGUUAUGGAGAGAGAAAGCUAGUUAGAGUAUAAAUAGGAGUUUGUUAUCGAGAGAGAGGGGAGUGAGAAUUUUGUGGGUAAGCUCAGGAUUUUCCGAGAGGAAAAAAAGAGAGCAGGGGAGAGUCUUUCGUUUCCGAAUUGAGGAUCCUCAAUUCGUUUUACAUUGUAAUUUCGUUAGUUUUCAGAAUUAAUACUAUCGUAAUGAGGCUGUUCCUAC
RNAcentral lists this long non-coding RNA (4210 nucleotides) under Cucumis sativus (cucumber). RNAcentral describes it as "long non-coding RNA (CSAT_LNC002042)". Lineage: Eukaryota; Viridiplantae; Streptophyta; Magnoliopsida; Cucurbitales; Cucurbitaceae. The record is from RNAcentral.